UUUUCCUACGGGGGGCAGCAGUGAGGAAUGUUGGUCAAUGGGCGCAAGCCUGAACCAGCCAAGUCGCGUGAGGGAUGACGGUCCUAUGGAUUGUAAACCUCUUUUGUCGGGGAGCAAGGCCCGCCACGUGUGGCGGGAAGGGGAGUACCCGAAGAAAAAGCAUCGGCUAACUCCGUGCCAGCAGCCGCGGUAAUACGGAGGAUUCGAGCGUUAUCCGGAUUUAUUGGGUUUAAAGGGGGCGU
RNAcentral lists this ribosomal RNA (242 nucleotides) under uncultured bacterium. Its description in RNAcentral is "partial 16S ribosomal RNA". It matches the Rfam family "Bacterial small subunit ribosomal RNA", at positions 334 to 572 of the family's 1533-position model. The record is from RNAcentral.